GCCCCCGUAGCUCAACGGGAUAGAGCAGCGGACUUCUAAUCCGCAGGUUGCACGUUCGAGUCGUGCCGGGGGUG
RNAcentral lists this transfer RNA (74 nucleotides) under Acidimicrobiia bacterium. Its description in RNAcentral is "tRNA-Arg". It matches the Rfam family "tRNA". Rfam says of the family: Transfer RNA (tRNA) molecules are approximately 80 nucleotides in length. Their secondary structure includes four short double-helical elements and three loops (D, anti-codon, and T loops). Lineage: Bacteria; Bacillati; Actinomycetota; Acidimicrobiia. RNAcentral also lists the same sequence under 1 other name. The record is from RNAcentral.